This 21-nucleotide ribosomal RNA is filed under the name Gyrodactylus neretum. RNAcentral's name for it is "partial 18S ribosomal RNA". RNAcentral also lists the same sequence under 1 other name. The record is from RNAcentral. Lineage: Eukaryota; Metazoa; Platyhelminthes; Monogenea; Gyrodactylidea; Gyrodactylidae.
GAACCUGCAGAAGGAUCAUUA